Molecule: ribosomal RNA, 450 nt
Filed under: uncultured bacterium
Lineage: Bacteria
Description: partial 16S ribosomal RNA
Rfam family: Bacterial small subunit ribosomal RNA
Source: RNAcentral
CCUACGGGGGGCUGCAGUAAGGAAUAUUGGUCAAUGGGCGCAAGCCUGAACCAGCCAUGCCGCGUGAAGGAUGACGGCCCUAUGGGUUGUAAACUUCUUUUGUACGGGAAAAAACCUCUGGUCGUGAAUCAGAGCUGAUGGUACCGUAAGAAUAAGCAUCGGCUAACUCCGUGCCAGCAGCCGCGGUAAUACGGAGGAUGCAAGCUCAAUCCGGAUACAUUGGGUGUAGGGGGUGCGCAAACGCAGCAGUGAAAGCCUACAGCUUAACUGUAGAACUGCCAUUGAUACUGUUAUUCUUGAGUGUUGUUGAGGUAGGCGGAAUGUGUCAUGUAGCGGUGAAAUGCUUAGAUAUGACACAGAACACCGAUCGCGAAGGCAGCUUACCAAGCAACAACUGACGCUCAUGCACGAAAGCGUGGGGAUCAAACAGGAUUAGAUACCCGUGUAGUC